Pomacea canaliculata is the source of this 2650-nucleotide long non-coding RNA. RefSeq lists it as uncharacterized. Lineage: Eukaryota; Metazoa; Mollusca; Gastropoda; Architaenioglossa; Ampullariidae. The record is from RefSeq and is a predicted model, not a curated record. The transcript has 4 exons.
GGGUGGAAAAGUUAAUUACACUGUAAACGAGUGACAGACGACUAGAGUAAUUCCAUCUUGAUUAAUCAGAAAAUCUUCCUUCCUUACUUAUGAAGCCCUUGCGUAGCAGUGGUUGACAGUAUUUAUAAGGGCGUUGUUGUGUUUCAGCUCCUUUGUUUGUUCUUGUGCGUAAGUCAUCUCGUGCACAUAAAUGUGUGCAAUCUCUUGUGAAACUUAUCACUGUUCUCUGUAACACCUUCAUUACUGUUCAUAUGUAAUCGUCAACAACAGCUCAUCCAGUCUAUAUAUAUACAACAGGUUUUCUCAUUACCGAUGCUUCAUGGAGUCAUGAACUUUGAAGCCAGCAAUUAAGGAAGAUGGAGGGCUUUCAGUGCUGGGAGACAAGACUGCACCCCAAUGCCCUCAGUGAUGGUUUAAUUGCAAAGACUGCUGAACAAACUUUGGCUACAGUUCAUUCUAUGUUUCAUCGGGCGGCAGAGAAAUUCGAUUGGAAACGAAUAUUAGACAUUUUUGGAAAGUAUAAUCCUUCUGGUAUAGAAUAUUCACCGGGUUUUCAGAAGACCACCAAGUGUAAGGCACAACAUGUGGAAGAUGAAGCACAACACUUUUUUCUUCCUCCGAGUUUGAUGCCUUGCAUGGUAAAACACGUAUUCAUAGGAUUCGUCAACUGGCCAUGAUGAGCUUGGACGAUCAUAGGUCACCAAGUGACUGCACCACCGGACCUCUAAAACAGAGUAAGUUUUUUUUUUAAACAUUUUGGGAUGUAGGGGACAGGGAGGAAAGAGCAGGAUGAUAGAGCUUUCCUCCCUUUAUUUAUCUUUCAGCUAGUGUUCAACUCCCCCUUCUCCCUCAUCCCUUCUAUGGGCGGAUGUGUGGGGCCCUCGCUGAUGGCUGGUCAACAGAAGCUUGCCUGUUAUUUCUCAUCGGGGUGCUUUUUCAGUAAAUUAAUUUUAAUGUAGAAAAAACAUUGCCUACUGGCGUGGAUCGUGUCACACAGACAAGCCUGAUAGUAAGAUCAACAAGCUAGCCUAUUUUUUUUUUUUUAGUUUUGGUUUUCUUUCUCUCUAGGGCUCUAAUAAAUCUGUAACGAGGCAUUUUCUGUUUCCAUGAAAUGAGAUAAGUAAGUGAAGUCUCUGUAUUCCCGUUGUUGUGGCUCUGUAUUUAUCUCUGUACUUCUGGUGUAAAACGGACUCAACCAUUGGUGUGAAGAGACUGGUGUCAAAAUGACAAUAUUUAUGCAAACAAAAGAAAUAAAUCUCUAUCUGGUCGAAACAGUGUUUGAGGUUAGGGAUAGAUGGGCUGGAGGUGUGCUCAGCUUUGUGCACAUGCUACACAAUUAAAGUUAAGUUCAAAGUUGCUGAGAGGUUAAUAAAACAUGACCUUAUCAUUAGUUUGUCAUAAAGAUUUGAGUUGUUUAUUUUGGGGGGACUAAACUGUAAACUUAGACUGAAGCCAACAUCUUAUAUCAGAGCCUCGAUCACAUGCCAGUGAGACAUUGCAUCAAUAGUGAACCUAUUCUGUGACCUAGCGGGAACUCAGGUCUUGACAUUAAAACUCAGAUUAGAGCUGCACUGUUCAAAGAACUGUGUCAUCUGAACAGAACAAUGUUCUUUCACCGAGUUGGAGAAGUGAAUUGUAAUAUUGUCACAGAGGGGGAGAUGAGGCUAACAGCCGGCACAGUAAUGGUGGCUGAGCCCACCUGCUGAAUCCUAAUCGGGAUUCCUUUUUUAGCUAGUGGAACAAGAAAGGGGAAGACGAUUUAAAUUGAUUGUCGCUGGCCAGCACUUCACUUCCCAGGGAGACAUGGCGAGUGCCGAGACACUAAGUGUAGGGGAGAGGAGGCUGCGUCUGCCUAGAAAGCUGUUAAUAGGCGCAGUCUGCCGGGCCGGGAGAUGGACCAUGGAGUGAAAGGCCGGAAGAUGGGCCGUGUUUGGGCCUGGCUAAUGCCACGGACUAAUGGACCUUGAAGAUGCCAUGAAAUAUCUGAAGAAUUUUUUUUGACUGGUAAUCUGGGGUAUGUGGCCCAGAAGGACAACGUCUGACCCCAAGAGUCAGCGUUUGACCAAUCAGAAGCUGGUAUGUCGCAUGAGCACGCGGCUCAUGCAGUGAUGACUGGACCAGACGCACAGAUAAAGUUGAGGGAAAGAACAGACUUGCAGCUGAUUUCCGGAACCUUAGUUCGAUGCCCAUUCCUACCGACUCUGCCCGGAAACCAGUGUCAUAGGACCCGCAGCCCCAGUUGCCGAACCUGAGAAGCCGUUGAAGGUGAAUCGUGAUCACUCUUUUACUUCAAAGAGCUCGCUGUGGAAAUUCCGCUCUGUUAGGAUGGUUGGCAGCUAAAAAGGUCUUUCAGCUGCUAGAUGGCUCGAAUGACUAAUCAAAUUUCCUCUUGUUUUGCUUGCUUGUUUUUGUUUUUCUUCCAUUCUCACUUAUUCACAGCUAGUGAAAAAACAGUAAUACCGUUAACACCUUGGUAGUGGUGAUGAUUCAUAAUUCAUAAUAAUCAUAAAUAAUAACAGCGCUAGUACUCUACAAUGCUUAUUUUUGCUUACCGGAGAACAAGCGCACAGCAGUCGAAAAUAGGUAUGUGGAAUCAUGUUUGAAGUCUGUGGGCCAUUUUAAAACCAAUGGCGAAGAUAAUAAACACUCA